AGAGUUUGAUCCUGGCUCAGGAUGAACGCUGGCGGCGUGCCUAAUACAUGCAAGUCGAGCGAACCACUUCGGUGGUGAGCGGCGAACGGGUGAGUAACACGUAGGUGAUCUGCCCAUCAGACGGGGACAACGAUUGGAAACGAUCGCUAAUACCGGAUAGGACGAAAGUUUAAAGGUGCUUCUGGCACCGCUGAUGGAUGAGCCUGCGGCGCAUUAGCUAGUUGGUAGGGUAAAGGCCUACCAAGGCGACGAUGCGUAGCCGACCUGAGAGGGUGAACGGCCACACUGGGACUGAGACACGGCCCAGACUCCUACGGGAGGCAGCAGUAGGGAAUCUUCGGCAAUGGGCGAAAGCCUGACCGAGCAACGCCGCGUGAAUGAUGAAGGCCUUCGGGUUGUAAAAUUCUGUUAUAAGGGAAGAACGACUUUAGUAGGAAAUGGCUAGAGUGUGACGGUACCUUAUGAGAAAGCCACGGCUAACUACGUGCCAGCAGCCGCGGUAAUACGUAGGUGGCGAGCGUUAUCCGGAAUUAUUGGGCGUAAAGAGCGCGCAGGUGGUUGAUUAAGUCUGAUGUGAAAGCCCACGGCUUAACCGUGGAGGGUCAUUGGAAACUGGUCGACUUGAGUGCAGAAGAGGGAAGUGGAAUUCCAUGUGUAGCGGUGAAAUGCGUAGAGAUAUGGAGGAACACCAGUGGCGAAGGCGGCUUCCUGGUCUGUAACUGACACUGAGGCGCGAAAGCGUGGGGAGCAAACAGGAUUAGAUACCCUGGUAGUCCACGCCGUAAACGAUGAGUGCUAAGUGUUGGGGGUCGAACCUCAGUGCUGAAGUUAACGCAUUAAGCACUCCGCCUGGGGAGUACGGUCGCAAGACUGAAACUCAAAGGAAUUGACGG
Molecule: ribosomal RNA, 893 nt
Filed under: uncultured bacterium
Lineage: Bacteria
Description: bacterial SSU rRNA
Rfam family: Bacterial small subunit ribosomal RNA
Source: RNAcentral